UACGGAGGGGGCAAGCGUUAUCCGGAUUCACUGGGUUUAAAGGGUGCGUAGGAGGGUAGGUAAGUCAGUGGUGAAAUCCCCGAGCUUAACUUGGGAACUGCCGUUGAUACUAUCUGUCUUGAAUAUCGUGGAGGUGAGCGGAAUAUGUCAUGUAGCGGUGAAAUGCUUAGAUAUGACAUAGAACACCGAUUGCGAAGGCAGCUCGCUACACGAAUAUUGACUCUGAGGCGCGAAAGCGUGGGGAGCAAACAGG
This 253-nucleotide ribosomal RNA is filed under the name uncultured bacterium. Its description in RNAcentral is "partial 16S ribosomal RNA". It matches the Rfam family "Bacterial small subunit ribosomal RNA", at positions 524 to 776 of the family's 1533-position model. The record is from RNAcentral.